AUCUUGUUGUGAUGCAGGGGCGGAGGAGGAAGUGAGCGGGAGAGAGGCAACCAAUGCCCCUGUUAGAUCCAAGUGACCCAGGGGUGGAUGCUCAAGCAUGUGCAUGGCGGGUAGCGUAAUUCGAAGAUCCUCCAUCCCAUGUCUUCGACUGGCAUAAAAAUAUCAUCCACAGUGGGUUUACUUCUCUCAGAAUAUUUUGUUAUAGUCACUGACGAACAUAUAAUUAGGAGUAAGGAUUGGCCAA
This 244-nucleotide long non-coding RNA is filed under the name Elaeis guineensis (African oil palm). RNAcentral's name for it is "long non-coding RNA (EGUI_LNC070552)". The record is from RNAcentral. Lineage: Eukaryota; Viridiplantae; Streptophyta; Magnoliopsida; Arecales; Arecaceae.